This is an RNA transcript of Carlito syrichta (Philippine tarsier), 651 nucleotides long. It is a transcript of the gene named NADH dehydrogenase [ubiquinone] iron-sulfur protein 8, mitochondrial-like, with no coding region annotated. The transcript has 2 exons. The record is from RefSeq and is a predicted model, not a curated record. Lineage: Eukaryota; Metazoa; Chordata; Mammalia; Primates; Tarsiidae.
AUGGAGAGGAAGGAGUUGCAUCGCUUCAAGAUACGCUGCCUGACUACGCCCGUGCUGCUGCGGGCCCUGGCCCAGGCUGAGCGCGCAGGACAUCCUAGUGUCCAGAGCCUCCGCGGCAGUGCAGUGGCAGCCACCUACAAGCAUGUGAACAUGCAGUAACCCGAGAUGGACAUGAGAUCAGUGACCAACCGGGUAGCCUGAACCCUGCUGUGACCUGAGCUCAUUCGAGGUCUGGGCAAGACCCUGACCUACCUGUUCCGGGAGCCCACCGCCAUCAACUACCCAUUUGAGAAGGGCCCGCUGAGCCCACGCUUCUGUCCGGAGAGGAGGGUUGCAUCAUCUGCAAGCUCUGUGAGGCCAUCUGCGGCGCUCCCCCCGCCACCCACCAUUAGCAUCACCAUCGAGGCCGAACCCAAGGGCGACGGCAGCCACCUGACCACCCACUAUGAUAUCGACAUGACCAAGUGCGUCUACUGUGGCUUCUGCCAAGAGGCCUGCCCCUUGGACACCCUCGUGGAGUACCCCAACUUGGAGUUCUUCACGGAGACGCAGGAAGAGCUGCUGUACAGCAAGGAGAAGCUGCUCAAGCAUAGUGACAAGUAGGAAGCGGAGAUCGACACCAACAUCCAGUUCGACUACCUGUACUGGUGA